This 46-nucleotide non-coding RNA is filed under the name Trichobilharzia regenti. The record is from RNAcentral. Lineage: Eukaryota; Metazoa; Platyhelminthes; Trematoda; Strigeidida; Schistosomatidae.
GUACUGAUGAAGAGUCCCAAACCAGGACUAAACAGCUAUCCAGUAC